Long non-coding RNA from Capra hircus (goat), 1572 nucleotides. NCBI's taxonomy places the organism in Eukaryota, Metazoa, Chordata, Mammalia, Artiodactyla, Bovidae. The record is from Ensembl.
CUGGGAGCGGGCACGCCCUGCCCGGCCUCUCUCCUCCGGCCCCGUCCGGGUGUCCUCUGCGAGGGUCUCGGGCGGGCUGGGGGCGCCGGCUCCCAGGCUUCCCGCCUGGGAGAUUCAGUCCCCUGCCUAGGCGACUCCCUUGAGUCUCCGCGCCCCGCACCACCCCGGAGGCGCCGGCCGGGCCCGGAACUCAGAGCUUGCCGCGGACUCCGGGGAGAGGCCGCCCUGGGGCCGGGUCCUGUGGCCUCUCCGGAGUUUUCUCGGGGAUUUCGGCCCGGCGCCCGCGAGGCCGGGCUCCGUGUUCUUCACGCACACGGUGCAGCCCUGGCUUAAUCGGCUGGCAUCAAGGCCGCCUCGAUCUCAGCAGCUGUGUUGACAAACAUGGCCCAACAAGACGGCCACCAUCACAGGAUGAAUCUGAAGGACUUAAUUGCCUAGCUCUGCAGUUUCCUCUGAAACCUCUUUUCCGUUUGUGGAUGGACUUGAACUCGACAGACCAUGGAGCGUCAUUGAGCAUGCCCACUUUCAUAGCAGUCUGAGCUUCAUAGGCCUUGAGCUUAUAGCAUCCCUUUAUGGUGGACAUGGCGGAAAGUGUUGGACAUGCCAUUUCAGACUGAGCUCUGACCUCCAGACUGACGGCUGUGGUCUUCAUCACAUUCCAGCAGGAGAUGUGGGCUCACAUCAGGCUGUCACACUGAACCCUCUGUGCUUAGAGCUUUAUAUCCAGGAGCAUGACAGCAAGGACUGUAUUGUCAUUUUGCUCCAUACUCCUGCACUGAGAACAAGAAUCUCAAGAAGUGAUGAAGUCUGUGACCCAGCAAUUCCACUCCUAGGGGCACUUGGGAGAGAACCAAGAACAUAUAUAUAUAUAAACGUGAUAGCGGCACUAUUCAUGACAGCCAAAAAGGGGAAACAAUCCAAAUGUUCAUCAGCUGAUGGCUGGAUGAACAAAUGUGGUAUGUCCGUACACUGGAAUAUUAUUAAGCUCAAAAGGAAAUAAAGUAAUGAUACAUGGCAUAAGAUGGAUGAACCUUGGAAACAUUAUGCUAAGUGGAAAAAGCCACAUACAAAAGGCCAUAUACAAUGCGAUUCCAUUCUGAUGAAAUAUAUAAAAUAAACAAACCCAUAGAGAAUGAAAGUAGAUUUGUGGUUGCAGGAGGCUAGGGGCUGGAAUAAUGGGGCAUGUGUGUGUGCAUGAAUUUGCUUCUGUCAUGUCUGACUCUUUGCAACUCUCUGGACCAUAGUCCACCAGGCUCCUCUGUCCAUGGGAUUCUCUAGGCAAGAAUACCAGAGAGGGUUGCCAUUUUCUCUUCCAGGGCAUCUUUCCCACCCAGGGAUCAAACUUGUGUCUCUUGUGUCUCCUUCAUUGUCAAGUGCGUUCUUUACUACUAGUGCCACCUGGGAAGCCCAGAAUAAUGGGGAGUGACUGCUAAUGGGUAUGGGAUUUCUUUUUUGGGUGAUCAAAAUGUUCUGGAAUUAGAUAGUUGUGAUGGUUACCCAACAUUGUGAAUAUACUAAAAUGCACUGAAUUAUGCACUUCAAAAUGGUGACUUUUAUCUCAAUAAAAAAUGC